GCGGACGGGUGAGUAAUGCCUAGGAAUCUGCCUGGUAGUGGGGGACAACGUUUCGAAAGGAACGCUAAUACCGCAUACGUCCUACGGGAGAAAGUGGGGGAUCUUCGGACCUCACGCUAUCAGAUGAGCCUAGGUCGGAUUAGCUAGUUGGUGAGGUAACGGCUCACCAAGGCGACGAUCCGUAACUGGUCUGAGAGGAUGAUCAGUCACACUGGAACUGAGACACGGUCCAG
Molecule: ribosomal RNA, 233 nt
Filed under: uncultured Pseudomonadales bacterium
Lineage: Bacteria; Pseudomonadati; Pseudomonadota; Gammaproteobacteria; Pseudomonadales
Description: partial 16S ribosomal RNA
Rfam family: Bacterial small subunit ribosomal RNA
Source: RNAcentral